GAAGAAGGUGCUGUGCACGGGCUCAUUUGACUACGCAUAGUACUGUAUUAGAGACUGAAACGGUUGGAGUUUCUACAUUUGUGUUGUACUGAAGAAACAAAAUCACAUACAUCUUGGAUGGCCUCGGGACCCUUUUGCCAGUAUGAAGCCGAUUUCAACGGUAACUGCAGAAAGCGUCAGCACGCUCAGCUCAUCACUGGAGUAACGUCUGUACAACGGGUGAGAUAAACUCAACGCCUGACUGAAUCAUCCAUUCCCUUUUUGAUCCUACGCCAUACGUUAAACUUGAGGUAAUCUUGCUUUUGCUGUUCUAAAAUAAACACUGCUCUUAGCACACCCCACCCUUACAUGGCACACACGUAUAUGACACACAACACAGGUCUUCUCAGGAGGCUGUGCCUACAG
Paramisgurnus dabryanus is the source of this 405-nucleotide long non-coding RNA. RefSeq lists it as uncharacterized. NCBI's taxonomy places the organism in Eukaryota, Metazoa, Chordata, Actinopteri, Cypriniformes, Cobitidae. The record is from RefSeq and is a predicted model, not a curated record.